CCAAGCUGUUCCAGCCGCUAGGCAGGCGCCUCGGAGGCGGGUACAGGCCAUUUUCCCACCAGCCUGGUCCAGGUGGCCUGGAGGCUGCAGGGGUCGUCUGGGAACAGGUCCUGCCCCUGAUUGAGGCAUGAAAUCUGGGUCUCUCAGACCUGACGGACUUUCGGGAUCAUCUUCCUAGGUCCCCACAAAGUGCCUGAAGACAGGAAACAUUUGGUGUGCUUGACGGGGACUAUGAGAUCUUAUGGCAUCUCAAAGGGCAGAAGUCUGGACAGGAAGACCAAUUGCAUGGUAGAGGAUUCCCCAAGUAGACCACGUGUGUGCCAGCCCAGCAGGCAAACUGCCCCAUAUGUGUUUGUCCGUCAACUGUGCGUGCAGAGCUUUACUCUCGUGCAUGACACAGGAAGCCCACGGGACGCUCCCCCAGCACGCCCCGCUGCCUCGGCACUCCUGGAAGGAAGACCUGUUCUUGUUUCUUCCGUACUCUCAGGAUCUGGCACAGAACCCGACAAAGGAUAUGACUUGCAGAUGUCGAGAUGGAACCUCACCAGGGCUUCCUUCUGAAAGGAAACUUCCAGAAAGCAGCAGACAGACCACAGAACAUCCUUCCUAGAAAAAGAUAAGUCAUCUAUAGACCAGCAACAGCUCUGAUCACAUGACUGCAAGCAAGGUUUCCAAAGAAAUCAAAAUGAUAGCUUAAAGAAUGAGCAUGGAAAAUUUCUUUGUAGAAAGAUUCAAAUUCACAAUGUGACCAAUUAAAAGGAAUCCUAGCGUACAUUUUUUUUUCUCAAAAAAAUUUCACAAAUACUGUCUUAUUUGAUUCUCAUAUUAACCUGUGGAUAUGGGCUGUGAAUAUGAGCCAUGAAGACAUUAUUCUCCACUUUAUAAUUGAGAGAAGGGAGGGAGGACAUCAGUGACUCGCAUCUCAGGGUACAUGACAGUGAGUGAUUGAGACAGACUUGGGUCUUUUGGUUACUCCUAGUACAGUGCUCUCUCCACCUCAUCCUGCCUUUACAAACUGGAAGCAGGUUAAGUAGCAAUUCAUUUAUUUUUCUUUCAGAAAGAAAUACAUCUUUAAAAGAAUGAGGAUCAAAAAUUGUGUAAAUAGAUGAGGCUGGCGCAGUGGCUCAUACUUGUAAUCCCAGCAUUUUGGGAGGCUGAGGCAGGUGGAUCACCUCAGAUCAGGAGUUCGAGACCAGCCUGGACAAUAUGGCCAGACCCUAUCUCUACUAAAAAUAAAAAAAAUUAACUGGGUGUAAUGGUGGAACCUGUAAUCCCAGCUACUCGGUAGGCUGAGGUAGGGAUAAUUACUUGAACCCAGGAAGUGGAGGUUGCAAUGAGCUGAGAUGGUGCCACUGCACUCUGGCCUGGGCAACAGAGCAAGAUUCUGUCUCAAAAAAAAAAAAAAAAAGUUGUAUAAAUAAAUGUAAAAAAUUCAAGUAUCUUCAUUCUAUUUUAUAAUAUAGUCAAGGUGUUUUUUGAUUUUCUUUUUUAAGGUAGAAAAACUGAGGGGCAGAGGUAAGUAGAGACAAAGGGA
This 1534-nucleotide long non-coding RNA is filed under the name Macaca nemestrina (pig-tailed macaque). Its description in RNAcentral is "lncRNA (ENSMNEG00000046177.1)". The record is from RNAcentral. Lineage: Eukaryota; Metazoa; Chordata; Mammalia; Primates; Cercopithecidae.